GUAAUGUCGUGUUGAGCAAAAGCAAAAUAUUCAUUUGUUUACUGGAGUACAUUUUCUACUUGACAUCCCGCAAGCUUUCGUCAUUAGUCAGCCGAUUCCAGACGAUGGUUCUGUGUCACGUGACGGUGUGUGUGUACUGCCUCUUGAUGUUUGGAACCUCUGGAGCGGCGGAGGAUGUGCUUCUUGGGAAAGUGAAUGACACAGAGGUCACUGGGAAGGUAUUCGUUUUGACAUGCACCGUAUCCGGACAUGCUAUUCACAACACAGUCUACUUUAACCGAAGCGAAGAGACCAUAUGCAAUGCUCGAUAUUGGAAAGCUGAUAACUGCACAUCCAGUACACACACAACUAAGGAAUACACCUGUGGAUGUCAAACUCACAAAUCAGAUGCGAGAACAUAUUUCCUUAAAAUACACAAGUUGAGUGGGAAGGAUUCAACGCAGUGGACAUGUUUUGUGAAAGAUUCCAACAUGUCCGGAAGCCACAU
This is a long non-coding RNA of Gigantopelta aegis, 487 nucleotides long. RefSeq lists it as uncharacterized. The transcript is spliced from 3 exons. The record is from RefSeq and is a predicted model, not a curated record. Lineage: Eukaryota; Metazoa; Mollusca; Gastropoda; Neomphalida; Peltospiridae.